AGUGAACGCUGGCGGUAGGCCUAACACAUGCAAGUCGAACGGCAGCACAGAGGAGCUUGCUCCUUGGGUGGCGAGUGGCGGACGGGUGAGGAAUACAUCGGAAUCUACUCUGUCGUGGGGGAUAACGUAGGGAAACUUACGCUAAUACCGCAUACGACCUACGGGUGAAAGCAGGGGACCUUCGGGCCUUGCGCGAUUGAAUGAGCCGAUGUCGGAUUAGCUAGUUGGCGGGGUAAAGGCCCACCAAGGGGACGAUCCGUAGCUGGUCUGAGAGGAGGAUCAGCCACACUGGAACUGAGACACGGUCCAGACUCCUACGGGAGGCAGCAGUGGGGAAUAUUGGACAAUGGGCGCAAGCCUGAUCCAGCCAUACCGCGUGGGUGAAGGAGGCCUUCGGGUUGUAAAGCCCUUUUGUUGGGAAAGAAAUCCAGCUGGCUAAUACCCGGGUGGGAUGACGGUACCCAAAGAAUAAGCACCGGCUAACUUCGUGCCAGCAGCCGCCGUAA
This 506-nucleotide ribosomal RNA is filed under the name uncultured bacterium. Its description in RNAcentral is "partial 16S ribosomal RNA". It matches the Rfam family "Bacterial small subunit ribosomal RNA", at positions 29 to 523 of the family's 1533-position model. The record is from RNAcentral.